CGAAGGGGGCUAGCGUUGCUCGGAAUUACUGGGCGUAAAGGGCGCGUAGGCGGAUAUCUAAGUCGGGGGUGAAAGCCCAGGGCUCAACCCUGGAACAGCCUUCGAUACUGGGUAUCUUGAGUACGGGAGAGGUGUGUGGAACUCCGAGUGUAGAGGUGAAAUUCGUAGAUAUUCGGAAGAACACCAGUGGCGAAGGCGACACACUGGCCCGUUACUGACGCUGAGGCGCGAAAGCGUGGGGAGCAAACAGGAUUAGAUACCCUGGUAGUCCACGCUGUAAACGAUGAGUGCUAGUUGUCGGCAUGCAUGCAUGUCGGUGACGCAGCUAACGCAUUAAGCACUCCGCCUGGGGAGUACGGUCGCAAGAUUA
Molecule: ribosomal RNA, 370 nt
Filed under: uncultured organism
Description: bacterial SSU rRNA
Rfam family: Bacterial small subunit ribosomal RNA
Source: RNAcentral